AGAACGAACGCUGGCGGCAGGCUUAACACAUGCAAGUCGAACGCUGUAGCAAUACAGAGUGGCAGACGGGUGAGUAACACGUGGGAACAUACCCUUCGGUUCGGAAUAACUUGGGGAAACUUAAGCUAAUACCGAAUACGGCCUAUGGGCGAAAGAUUCAUCGCCGAAGGAUUGGCCCGCGUCCGAUUAGCUAGUUGGUGUUGGUAAUGGCUCACCAAGGCGACGAUCGGGUAGCUGGUCUGAGAGGAUGACCAGCCACAUUGGGACUGAGACACGGCCCAAACUCCUACGGGAGGCAGCAGUGGGGAAUAUUGGACAAUGGGCGCAAGCCUGAUCCAGCCAUGCCGCGUGAGUGAUGAAGGCCUUAGGGUUGUAAAGCUCUUUCGCACGCGACGAUAAUGACGGUAGCGGUGAGAAGAAGCCCCGGCUAACUCGCGCCAGCAGCCGC
RNAcentral lists this ribosomal RNA (448 nucleotides) under uncultured bacterium. RNAcentral describes it as "SSU rRNA". It matches the Rfam family "Bacterial small subunit ribosomal RNA", at positions 26 to 518 of the family's 1533-position model. The record is from RNAcentral.